UCCUCGAUAGCUCAACGGCAGAGCAUGCGGCUGUUAACCGCAGGGUUACUGGUUCGAGUCCAGUUCGAGGAG
This 72-nucleotide transfer RNA is filed under the name Candidatus Hadersleviella danica. RNAcentral's name for it is "tRNA-Asn". It matches the Rfam family "tRNA". From Rfam's summary of the family: Transfer RNA (tRNA) molecules are approximately 80 nucleotides in length. Their secondary structure includes four short double-helical elements and three loops (D, anti-codon, and T loops). Lineage: Bacteria; Bacillati; Chloroflexota; Ardenticatenia; Promineifilales (SeqCode); Promineifilaceae (SeqCode). The record is from RNAcentral.